This 374-nucleotide unclassified non-coding RNA is filed under the name soil metagenome. RNAcentral describes it as "partial contains internal transcribed spacer 2 and large subunit ribosomal RNA". The stretch from base 1 to 120 matches the Rfam family "5.8S ribosomal RNA", at positions 35 to 154 of the family's 154-position model. The record is from RNAcentral.
GAUGAAGAACGUAGCGAAAUGCGAUAAUUAAUGUGAAUUGCAGAAUUCCGUGAAUCAUCGAGCCUUUGAACGCACAUUGCGCCUCAUGGCAUUCCGUGAGGCAUGCCCAUCUCAGCGUUAGAAAAUAUUCUCAAAUUUUAGUUUUGUGCUAAAAUUUGGAUCAUGACAAAGAAGCUAUUACUAUUAUUGUGAUCGCUCUUUGGAAAUUGAUAGGUCUUUGAGUUGCUACUCAUAGAACGUGAUGAAUCUUUCUUCGUUCUAUUGUAAUUCACUCUGGUAGUCCUAAAACUUGUAUGCCUGUGGCAUAUCUUGUAAUUUGACCUGAGAUUGGGUAGGGAUACCCGCUGAACUUAAGCAUAUCAAUAAGCGGAGGA